CAGAGGUGGCAAGCGUUGUUCGGAAUUACUGGGCGUAAAGGGCGCGUAGGUGGCCUUCUUAGUCAGACGUGAAAUCCCCGGGCUUAACUCGGGAACUGCGUCUGAUACUGGAAGGCUCGAGUUCGGGAGAGGAAUGUGGAAUUCCAGGUGUAGCGGUGAAAUGCGUAGAUAUCUGGAGGAACACCGGUGGCGAAGGCGGCAUUCUGGACCGAAACUGACACUGAUGCGCGAAAGCCAGGGGAGCAAACGGGAUUAGAUACCCCGGUAGUCCUGGCCCUAAACGAUGAGUGCUUGGUGUGGCGGGUAUCGAUCCCUGCCGUUUGCCGAAGCUAACGCAUUAAGCACUCCGCCUGGGGAGUACGGUCGCAAGGCUG
RNAcentral lists this ribosomal RNA (374 nucleotides) under uncultured organism. RNAcentral's name for it is "bacterial SSU rRNA". It matches the Rfam family "Bacterial small subunit ribosomal RNA", at positions 526 to 896 of the family's 1533-position model. The record is from RNAcentral.